GAGGGCGGCGGGGAGCGCGUAGCGCGGAUCUGUUGCUCGCCGCUUCUCCGGGAAGGCGGCGUGAGCCGGCAGUCAGUAGAGGGCAAUAGAGAAAUACAGUUUGUGAUGCCUAAAGGAUUUGAAGCCCUGAUUAUGUGUUUACAGAAAAGAAAAAGAAGAAAAGAAGAGCCAGGAGGAUAGGUUGUUCAGUUUACUACCGGAGACCUGACUGUGACAGACCACCAAGAAAACAGAAUUUUCAAAGAGAGUAGAGAAGACCUUCUGCAGCAUCUGCAAGUCUGUCCUUUUUUCUUCAGAGUUACGUAGGAUAACUUAGCCAGAACUUAUUGAUGUCUGCAUGUUCAGUGGACUCGGGGAUGGACUGGGAGAUGCGGAAACGUACUCUUUGGAAGAAACAGGAGAGGAGGCAUUUCAAAGAUCCUGCAGGUGACAAAGGGAAGAAGGUGUUCAAACAAUUGGAAACUUUUCAAUCAAGAAUGUGGAGAUAAUAGGUUAAAUAGGGCUGAUAAUUCAUGGUGAUGAUCUGCUGACAGAAUAAAUAAAUCAUAGAAAGUGCCGAGACUGCACAGGCAUUUGCUGUGGUAUUCCUACAUGAGAAACCUUUGUCACAGUCUUUCUUCAAGUAUGUUCUCUCCUGGGGGUUCAUUAUUUUUCAGAGGAUGGGUCUUUCUGCCCUGCAGGGAUCUAUCUAUCACUGCUGACUCUCUGCAUCUUCUCCACAUGGAAGAAGUAAUUGGAUUGUAUUUUCUGCACACGACCAAGACAGCAGGGAAACCCACAGCUGUAAGCCAGAGAACCAAGCUGUCUAGAGAGCUGGGCCUGGGCCUCACCAGCAUGCCUAAUAAUGUCACCAGGACUAAGGACAUGAGGAGAAUGAGUUGUCUCAUACCCAGAAGUGAAACAUGCCAGUACAAAGAUAAAAACCAAAAGUGACUGGACCUCAGACAAAGGAGGAGAAGGGAAGUUGUUGAGGUCCCCACACAGAUGUCUGAUUAAAAGCCUACCAAAGUGCAUUUGAAACUGUGUCACAGCUCAGCCUCUUCUCCCCAGUGCCUGUGGAGGCAGCUUCCAGCAUGACACAUCCUAUCUUUGACUCAUCAGAAGACAUGCUUCAAUUCAGCUAGAAAACAGGAACUUAAGGAAAGAGCUUGAAAGUCUGUGGCAAGCCUAUAAGGACUGAUGUACAACACAAUUGUAAAGUUUAAUUCUAGACUGAAAAUCAAUGAAUAUACAAAGAUUCAUAUUUCUAAGAAAACAAAGACAUAAAUCUACAGCCAUUUUGACAAAUGAUGUGCAGAUUUCUCCUGGGGAACAUGCAAAGAAGGCCCACACCUACGGAAAGGCUGUCCCAAGAUUAUGUCACCUACAUGUAUCAUGAAGGAAUUUUCUUCUUGGCUGCUCAGAGGAGGAUUUUUAACAUUUGCCUUUCAUUUACUCCACAACAUUUCAUUUCUGAGUAACUUGUACUCCUUCACACCAUUUUAAUUUGAUGGCAUGUACGAGUAAUGCAGAGACUUUUCUUUCCUAAGGGAAAUUAAGAAAAUAAUUCAUUCUUUCGCUCAGUAACUCAACUGAAUUCAAUUUGGGUUCAUUCUUUUAGGAAAGGUGUUUACCUAAUUCUAUCAAUUAAAAUAUGGAAGGAAAAUGUCAAUAAUGCUGACCAUCUUGUCAUCACAAUUCUUAGUUCUUUCAUGCCAUGCUUCUUCCACAGAGACUUUAAUUUUGCCGAGGGAAAAGCUAACAUAAAGACUUAGAAGGCUUAAAUCACACAUCUAAUUUCUGCAUGUUACUAAAUACUAACACAUACUAUGUGCAUGGAACGAAACUUCAGGAAACCAGUUUUCACACUGAUUUGGUUUUUUGACCUCAUUUGUAAGGUUUUAAUUUUAUUUUGUUUUCUUACUUUUUUUUUUUGUUUUCUUACAUUUUAUUUUGUUUUCUUACAUUUUUUUUUACUUCGAUAUACAUUUGCCAGAUGAAUUGCAUGCACAGAAAAAGGUGUAACAAAAGGGCAGAAGUAUCAGCUGCUUUAUGUGCUUCUAAGAGACAGAGAAAGAACAUUAUUUGGAAAUUUCUGUGGCACAGGGCCGUGCUGGCAGCUGCUGAUCUCAUUCCUAUCCCUUACAUGCGGUUGUUAACACAAGGACGCAUGUGGGAAUGGCUGAGGACUGGAGAGGCCGUGACCAAAGUGAGUAUUGGUUCUCUUUUUCCUUGGUGUGGCUGCCUGUGUAGAAAACACCGAUCGGUAGGACAGCCUGAGAGAAGGCUGAAUGAAUUAAUGGAGGAGAGGACCCUCUCAGAGCUACUGAACACACAGAAAAUCAGCCUGGCUUGGGGUGUGUCUGGGCUGCAAGUGCUUUGCAGUAGUGAGGAAAGGCUGCUUGCAAUUCUCCGGUCUCACGCUCCUCGUUCCAGCAUCAGCUCUAGGGCGUUAGCAUUAGCUGUUCUUAUUUCAUUAUGCUUUUAUUUACUGUUGGCAGGAGAGGAGGGCUGGAAGCUGCCCAGCGUGCUGGCUGCAGCCACCGAGAGACCUCUCUUUCCCCAGGGCUGGCUGCAGCACAGAAUUGAUGGGUGCUGAGUAAAUGUGUUUCAUAUCCAGAACAAAUUUUCCUGAGUGCCUAAAUGGCUUGAAACUGCAGGUUCUGUUGGCCAAGAUCAAGUAACUUGUUUGGGAGAUUGCUUCCAGUUAGUUUUCUCUCUUUUUGUCUCUCUCUCUGUGUUUGUGCAUUUUCAAUUAUGUAUCAUUUAGCUCCACUUUGUUUUAUUUAAGCAGGCAAGGAACAGUGAGCUUCAAAACUGCAGGAUACCUUGAAAUCUUUUAACUUCAAACAUUCUGUCUCUGAUAGAAAAACAUGUAUUUCCUUUUUAAUUCUCAGUCAUGUUAACUGGUACUGGUGACUUUGUACCCACAAGCACAGAACACUAGAUGGAUAGACUGCAGCAAAACGAGUUACAUGUUGUAUUUAGAAACAAGUACCUUUAAAAAAUUUACCUGUCUGCUAAGACUUGGAAAAACGAGCAAGCAAGUUCAGCUCAGUACACAGAGCAGUUCCUCACUGCCUGACUCUCCUCAUGGCUUCUGGGAAUGCCUGGCAUGUCAGGUAACACACGCUGAGCAAGAGCCAAAAAGCCUUUCUUGCUUGUAAAAAUGAAACAAACACCUUGUUGGAAAACAGCUCUUUUCAGAGGCAUUGCAGCUGUGGAUGAUGCUGUAGCCACUCUUCUCAGCCAUCAGGCAGUGCCUACCAGGGACCAGCUUUCAGCAGUGUCAGUAGGUAAGCUGUAUAACAAGGAUAGGUCCAGCUGUCCUGUGCCAGCGCAUCCUACCUUUCUCCAUUGCACAAACAACACACACUAACAGCAAACAUUUGCAUGAAACAAGCAGUGAUGAAAUAUACCUAUUUAAUUGUUCACAGUCCACUAAAUCAAGAGAGCCCCACCCUGCACUGUUUUGACCUCCAGUUCUUUCCUGACUCAUCUGCAGCUCUGCUGUUUCAUGGUGGGAGAUCUUUCAGUUCUGGCUUUGCCCUGCCUGUAGCAUCUGGUGCUGUUCUCUCCUAGUGUGACUGCUCCUGGCUGCCCUUUUCUGAGGAAAAGAGAUGAUUUUUUGAGGCUGUGGUGAUCUGGUAUGGCAGGAGCUGUACAGUCUCGGAUAGGAGGUCUUGACUAGCAGAGCUUCCUGUCUGCUCAAGAGCUUGCAAGCUGAAUGCCUUUGUAACCUCCUCCUGGGCUUGGGGGUGGCAUCAGGUGCUGGGGCUCUUUCACACUGCAGAGCUUGUAACAUCUGGCUGAUGCCAUGGGUUAUAGCAAUAAAUGACACCACACACAACAAACAUCUCCAGGGCUUUCUCCAACUUCAGUCUCUAAUCUCUCAGGCUUCCUGUGCCCCGUAUCUGUCUAUAAUGCUUUCAAAAUGACAAUCCUAGUGAUUUUGACAUGAAGGAUUCAUGUGAAGCUGGUGCUGAGGCUGGUAAGAGGCUGCCCUGACCCUCUGGGCCUGGGAGUGUCACAUUCUCUCUGUGUAUGAACUGAAAGUGGAGAGGGUACAGAAGGGUCAGACAGACAUCCAUACGACCCUGCUUUCCUCUGUGUCAUGGGACUUUUGUGCACAAUUGGCAAUUACAGAUGUAGCCCUGAGACUCACACCAAGCUUCUGACCUGUUGUCAUACACUAUUUUAUGCAGUAUGUCAUAUCCAACAUGACUGUAAUGUCUUCUGUCUUACUCACAUCCAGCUCUGUCUCCUGCUUUUUUUAACUUCUCUCCCAGGAAUUUCUCUUAGGCAGACUUUUCUUCCAUUAUUCAGACUCAAAUCACUUUUCACCACUGUUUUUUCCACAUCAAAGCCUGUAGCCUCACCCCCUUUGCACUUAGGCCUCCCAAAAGCCUGGAAAGCUUCUGAGGAAGCUGGUCUCUGUGGAGCUGGGGCAAUGAGCUGGGGUGGCUGAACACGUUCCUGUUAUUGAAAGCAAACAGACCUGUCCGCGCUUUUCAUUCCCUCACCCCAGGGAUUUGGCUGGGCUAUCUCCCUGCCAGUUCACUGUUUUCCCUGUCUGACAGUGUUUGCUGUGGGCAGUCAUGCUUGGCCAGAGGAUAUGCUCCAUGGCUCUGCUCAGGCAAGCCUGUCUCCCACAUGUUCGGGGUAUGUUGUGUGAAGAAUAUCAGACCUCUGCUGGAGCUACUGGGUGGCUCCCUGAGAGAGAUGCUGGGAGUCAGCACAGGCACACCCUGCAGUGCCCACUGUGGGCUGUAGUGAUGCCACAGCCUCCCUUCUGGGCUGUAAAGGUUUUGCAAACAGCCCUUCUGUGUGGUUCUCUGUGCAGCACAUCUGGCUUGCUGUAUUCCAGAGACAUUGCUGGGCACUACCCUCGCCUCACCUGAGAGCUUUGGAGGCCCAGUGACAUGUGUUACACUUGUCUGAGAGCUCAGCAGUGACCUCUUUGUGAUGCUGGCUGAUCUCUCCAGGGCUGGAUCUGUUUCUCUCAAUAAUUUCGCUUGCACUCUGGAAUCCCACAAGCAGCUCUUGUUUUUAAUCAGGGGCUCCAUAAUGUCUCCAAAGAUAUGUGUAGUGUCAGAGAUCUUACAUCUGAAACAUAAGGCUCAAUUACCUCAUAUUUUUAUUUUUGGUUUUGAGCACAAUUACUGAGUCCCUCUACAGUCUUAUUGUGUCCAGGUCAGGUCUUCAAAUAACUUUCUUGAUGGUUCAAUUGCUCCAUGUAUUAUUUUGAAAAUAAUAAGUGACUCUCUCAAGCCAUUUCUUGUCCUUUUUGUGCAGUGAGACAGUGAAAAGUUUUACUUCCAUGUUUUCUCACUCUUUCAUGGCCAACUACACGUAUCAAUUCCCUGCUCAUGUAAACACUUCAAACUGGCUUUUUGAGCUCUCAGUGGCUCAAGUCCCUUCUGGCAGUUCAUCUGCUCCAUUCCCAGAGUGUCUUUUUGUGUUUACUGCACUGGCUGAUGACAUAAACUCUGUCCCACCUCUCAGAAAGGGACAGUUUAUCUCCAGCUGCAGCUCAUCCCUUUGGAACAGCACUGAUACUGAUGUUAAUGAGAGAAAUCCUGUUUGAGUCUGUAGCAAACAUCCCUCAGGUAGCUGCAGCAAAUGAGGAAAUAUUUAAAGGUGAGCUAUGUCCUAAUAUCAUCUGUUGGAAAGGACUUUAUGUUUCAUAUAUUUCAUGUUAUUGCUCUGAAAGACUAAACGCAGGAGCACAUUUCCAAUUGAAAUGCUUGUGGAAAUUAAAUCCAUGUUUAAAUGAAUUUGAAACUUUUAAUGCAAAAUUGAGCACUUAGAAAUUUUGCAUCAACUCCAACUUAAUUAAAAUUAAUAAGGUUUCAGAGAGUUUUAGUUGGGAUAGAUGAAGAAAGAAUUUGGCCUUAAAUGUGUAAUUAAAAUACAAUUACAUUGGAAGGAAGUAAUUACUGAGGUUGUACCUCAAAAGCAUACCUAAUGGGCUAUCAGGAGAAAAGGUUUAUGUGUUUGGUUCACCAGCUAUAUAAGAUAUAAAAGGAUGUAGUCACUGAAAGAGAGAGAUAUUUGCAAGAUCAUUUAGGUAGAUAGUAGCAGCUCUUUUAUGGUCAAAUCAUUCUGGCUAUGUUUAGGAAGGGGACCACUUCAUCUUAGUUUGGGGUGCACAAGCACCUCCAUAAGUUUUCCUUCUGACGCAUUCAAUUGUUUCCCAGCCCUCUCAUGGGCUGUGAGAGAAGGAAGUGUUCUCCAACCAGUGUCAGACAUCUCUGGAUGAGGAAAAAGUUAGUGCUGAAAGACCUCAGCUGUCUGAUUUUAGGAACUCUUUGACAAAGGACUUCUCAAAGUGAAGGACCUAAUCUGACCCUGGUUAAAACCAUGGAAGGAAUGUGGAAUCUCUUGGUCCCUGCACCAGUCUGUAUGAAGCCCUGAGCAUAGAACCAGAACUGUGGUGUCAGUUUUGCAUAAACUUAAACUUGGUGGUUUUUUUACAUUGUUGCCCUGGCACACCUAUGAAAAAUGAUUUAAUAAAUAUGACAUUCCACAACAAGCACAAAACAGACAGCUUUGGGAGUUAGAGCUGAAGUGUGAGCAUUAAAAGUGAAGCCACUUUGUACUCUGUGGAGACAGAACAAUCCAUCAUGCGUUUGAUUUGUUUUGUUUGGAUUUUUUUUUGGGGGGGGAGGGAUGUAAUGUGAUAGGUUUUGGUUUUGGAGUCAGUGGUGAGGUUUCUGUUGGCUAUACUGAAGUUUGGAUUAGGUUCAUGGAAAUAAAUGAAUUCCAUUUUAUCAUAAACAAGAUAGAUAGUCAAAGAAACAAGAUAGAUAGUCAAAGAUGCAAGGUUCAUAGGCCCAUUUGGAUCAGCUCCUUUCCAAAGGUUCAGAGUCAUUGAUUGCAUCGAAUGGCCUGGAACACCUGGGUGUAACCUUGAGUUUAAAUCACAUCAAGAUGAUUUGAUUGUAAGUUCUUGAUUUAUACUUGUUUCUUCACAUAACUCUGUGAGGUGUUAAAAUGUGAUUUUUACAAGUUCAGUGUGUUUUGUAGAAUUGUGGGAGGGGAAAUGUGUGGUGUCCCCUGUGGUACAGUAUCAAACACAGUGCAAGUAGCCUGAUGUUUUAAUCAACAGAUACAUGCCCUUGGCAAAGAAGUGAUUUUAGCACUUAGUGAAAUGCACUCUGCUGAACUGUUGACAUUCAGUUCACAGUCAAACUUUUAUUGGUGAAGAGAAACACACCCUUUGUAUUGAAGAUUUAGCUCAGUAAAAUAAAAUCUGGUGACAGAAAUUUCUCUCCACCCUUACAUUCCCUGCAGCAAUGCUUGUUACAUGGAUAAGAAACAUGUAGAGCUUGACUUAGCCUUUUUUACACCCAAACCAGAUGUCUUCAGUAAUACUCAACCAGGAUAUUUUUCAACUUUUUAAAAUUUUUAUUUUAAUUAUUUCUAUUUUUAAUGCAAUACUGAAGAUGUGGGAUUGUCAGUGUUGUGGUACUUCAUCACCUAAAAUUGUUUCCACAUUAGAGCUCCCAAAGAAGCCUGAGAAGGGGUGUUUGAUAUAUGACAUUAUCAGCACUUGUCAACAGUGCAGGACUGAGUGAACUCAGCCUGCUGUGGCUGCAAUAGCACAAGCACUUCCUUCCCUUAAAUAGUUUCUUUCUCUUCCCCCAGGUCUUGUAGCAGCUCACACCUGAAAAAGCAGCCUUUAUAUCUUCCUCAAGCUAAUUAAAUUCAGAUUCAAGCAGAGGAGCAAUAUUGCUAAGUGUCCUUUUGUUAACUUGCUGGUCUCUGAAGAUUCUCACAUUUCAACCUAAGUGGCAGCAGAGUUCUCAGCCAUGGAAACCACAUCUGGAGAAAUCCCACCUCUCAAAAUCACAGAGCUCUUAAGGAUUUACAUGGGAUGACAUUAACUACUAGGGUCAAAUAAAUGUACUGAAAACAUACUCCCAAUCACAAAGGUCACUGAAAAGCCACUCAGGUUUGGCUUAUGCUGAGUUCUGCCUUUUUGUACCCAUACGAAACAUUUUUUAAUGCUUUCCAGAGGAUAAAUUCGUCAAAGCAACUAAUGGCCUGAAGUACACUGCUGAAGCAGGGAAAGACUGUUGCUUAUGUCCACACAGCAUCAAUAUCAGCAUAUUUUCAGUGUGACUUACCUCCUGCAAUCUUCCCCCAGAGGCACUGGUGGAGCAGGUGCUGUCAAAUGGAGAGCAUCAUGAUGGCUGAGCCCUGUUGAAAGUGUCCAGAGGCUGGAUGGAGCUUAUUCACCUGUAUUUUACACCAAGUUUGGAACAAUGUGGUUUAAUUGAUAUGCUGGUUUUCAGCCAAAUCUUGGACUCAAUGAUCUUGGAGGUCAUUUCCAACCCUAAUGAUUCUAUGAAUAUAGGUAUUCACUGACAGACAUCUGUGCCAUUCAGUUUACAGGAUUGUCCAAGUGCUAGAGAUUUAUAUUUUGUAUCCUUUACAAAAUUAAAAGACAUCUUUAGUCUAAGUGUUUAAUUUGUAACCCCUGUAACAAGACUGUAUGAGUUAUGUCCAAGAAUAUCAGGAUUAGGCAACAGUUUUGCACAGGGAUGUGGGAUAAUGCUUACUUCCUUUUUUCCUUUUUUUCUUUUACUCAUUAAAGGUGAAACACAAAUCUGUGCAUUUUUAAGCAGCUCUCUGAAAUUUCAUGUCUUUAUAAUUACAAUCUAUCGUACUGAAAACGAAAUCUGAAAUUAGACAUAAAAAUCACAAUAUUACCAGUCCUGGA
Molecule: non-coding RNA, 8707 nt
Organism: Zonotrichia albicollis (white-throated sparrow)
Lineage: Eukaryota; Metazoa; Chordata; Aves; Passeriformes; Passerellidae
Source: RefSeq, a predicted model, not a curated record